GAGUUUGAUCGUGGCUCAGGAUGAACGCUGGCGGCGUGCUUAACACAUGCAAGUCGAACGAGGAAUUUUAAAUGAGACUUCGGUGGAUUUUAAAAUUACUUAGUGGCGGACGGGUGAGUAACGCGUGGGCAACCUGCCCUGUACAGGGGGGACAACAGCUGGAAACGGCUGCCAAUACCGCAUAAGACCACGGAGCCGCAUGGCUCAGUGGGAAAAACUCCGGUGGUACAGGAUGGGCCCGCGUUGGGUUAGGUAGUUGGUGAGGUAACGGCCCACCAAGCCGACGAUCCAUAGCCGACCUGAGAGGGUGACCGGCCACGUUGGGACUGAGACACGGCCCAAACUCCUACGGGAGGCAGCAGUGGGGAAUCUUCCGCAAUGGGCGAAAGCCUGACGGAGCAACGCCGCGUGAGUGAAGAAUUAUUUCGGUAUGUAAAGCUCUAUCAGCAGGGAAGAAAAUGACGGUACCUGACUAAGAAGCCCCGGCUAACUACGUGCCAGCAGCCGCCGUAAC
RNAcentral lists this ribosomal RNA (514 nucleotides) under uncultured microorganism. RNAcentral's name for it is "bacterial SSU rRNA". It matches the Rfam family "Bacterial small subunit ribosomal RNA", at positions 9 to 524 of the family's 1533-position model. The record is from RNAcentral.